AUGUAUUUCUUCACUCAACUAGAAUGUGAUUGUAUACUGAGAAAAAGAACAAGAGGGGGUAGGUCGUCCAACGGAUGGUGGGACCCGGUCGCCGAACAAGGUGUUGAAAGUGCAGAAGAGAAAGACGGGGAAAGGUUCAGCCCAGCCGCUUUGCUGACCCUCUUGUUUCUGUUUGGGUUCGACCGACGCUGCCUAUGUUUUUUGCGGCUAAAAGGAGCAGUAUCAUCGGCUAGAAAGCAAGCAAGACGGCACGGAGAUUUCUGCCUCUCCUCCCGCAGACGUCGCCUCCUUGAACCAGACACGCCACCAGGCAGCAGGAAAGUGAGGCAGGAGAAGGCUCUCCUCCUUGCAGCAGGCAUCGGUUCUAUUCUAUCAGCAAGCAGUUCAGAACCAAGAAGAUUGGAGACGGGCAUGCGCAGGGUUCGAGUCUCGUCCCACCACUCUCCGGUCCACAAGCUGGGCGAUUCGAACAUGAAGCUGACGCCCAAGUUCCGGCUUGCCGCCGGCACCACCUCAUCACCGUCCUCCUCCGAGCUGGAGCAACCUCAACCCCCAUGGGAGACGCCGCUCAUCCCGGGCCUCCCGGACGACGCGGCGCUCAACUGCCUGCUCCGGCUGCCCGUGGAGGCCCACGGCGCCUGCAGGCUCGUGUGCCGCCGCUGGCGCCACCUCCUGGCCGACAAGGCGCGCUUCUUCACGCAGCGGAGGGCCAUGGGCCUCCGCUCGCCGUGGCUCUUCACGCUCGCCUUCCACCGCUGCACGGGCAAGAUCCAGUGGAAGGUGCUGGACCUCGACCGCCUCGCCUGGCACGCCAUCCCCGGCAUGCCCUGCCGGGACCGGGCCUGCCCCCGCGGCUUCGGCUGCAUCGCCGUCCCGGGCGACGCCGCCCAGCUGCUCGUCUGCGGCGGGCUCGUCUCCGACAUGGACUGCCCGCUGCACCUGGUGCUCAGGUACGACGUCUGCAGGAACCGCUGGGCCGUCAUGGCCCGGAUGCUCUCGGCGCGGUCCUUCUUCGCCGGCGGCGUCGUCGACGGCCGCGUGUACGUCGCCGGGGGCUACAGCACGGACCAGUUCGAACUGAACUCAGCCGAGGUUCUCGACCCGGCCAACGGCGUGUGGCAACCAAUCGCCAGCAUGGGCACCAACAUGGCCUCCUCUGACUCGGCCGUGAUCGGCGGCAGGCUCUACGUCACCGAGGGCUGCGCGUGGCCCUUCUUCUCGUCGCCGAGAGGGCAGGUGUACGACCCCAGGGCCGACCGCUGGGAGGCGAUGCCGGCCGGGAUGCGCGAGGGGUGGACGGGGCAGAGCGUGGUCAUCGACGGGCGGCUGUUCGUCAUCUCGGAGUACGAGAGGAUGAAGGUGAAGGUGUACGAUCCGGAGACGGAUUCCUGGGAUCCUGUCGACGGGCCUCCCAUGCCCGAGCGGAUCAUGAAGCCUCUGUCCGUGAGCUGCCUGGACAGCAAGAUCGUCGUCGUUGGCCGGGGUCUCCAUGUGGUGAUCGGCCAUGUCAAGAAGCAAUCCGGCGGCAACAACGGCGGUGGCGGCGGUUCUUGUGACUACUUGGUUCGUUGGCAGGAUGUGGAGGUUCCCAGGGCGUUCAGCGAUCUGACGCCUUCAAGCAGUCAGAUUUUACAUGCUUAA
Molecule: ribosomal RNA, 1641 nt
Filed under: Triticum aestivum (bread wheat)
Lineage: Eukaryota; Viridiplantae; Streptophyta; Magnoliopsida; Poales; Poaceae
Description: partial small subunit ribosomal RNA
Source: RNAcentral